GGGCCCGCACAAGCGGUGGAGUAUGUGGUUUAAUUCGAUGCAACGCGAAGAACCUUACCAGGGUUUGACAUCCUGCGAAUCUCUUGGAAACAGGAGAGUGCCUUCGGGAACGCAGUGACAGGUGGUGCAUGGCUGUCGUCAGCUCGUGUCGUGAGAUGUUGGGUUAAGUCCCGCAACGAGCGCAACCCACGUCUUUAGUUGCCAGCAUUCAGUUGGGCACUUUAAAGAGACUGCCGGUGAUAAACCGGAGGAAGGUGAGGACGACGUCAAGUCAGCAUGCCCCUUACGCCCUGGGCUACACACGUACUACAAUGGGGCGUACAAAGGGUUGCAAUCCCGCGAGGGGAGCUAAUCCCAUAAAACGUUUCGUAGUCCGGAUCGCAGUCUGCAACUCGACUGCGUG
This 403-nucleotide ribosomal RNA is filed under the name uncultured bacterium. RNAcentral's name for it is "bacterial SSU rRNA". It matches the Rfam family "Bacterial small subunit ribosomal RNA", at positions 917 to 1322 of the family's 1533-position model. The record is from RNAcentral.